This 386-nucleotide ribosomal RNA is filed under the name uncultured bacterium. Its description in RNAcentral is "bacterial SSU rRNA". It matches the Rfam family "Bacterial small subunit ribosomal RNA", at positions 29 to 402 of the family's 1533-position model. The record is from RNAcentral.
AACGAACGCUGGCGGCGGGGUUUAGGCAUGCAAGUCGAGCGAGAAAGGGGCAACCCGAGUAAAGCGGCGUAAGGGUGAGUAAUAGGUAGUUCACGUAUCCUGGUGACGCGGAUAAUUUCCCGAAAGGGAUUGUAAUACGCGAUGAGACCACGCCCGAUCAGUCGGGAGGGUCAAAGGUUCGGAUCCUUCGGGACCGAGCGCACGAGGAGCGGACGACCUCCGAUUAGCUUGUUGGCGGGGUAACGGCCCACCAAGGCGAUGAUCGGUAGCCGGCCUGAGAGGGUGUCCGGCCACACUGGGACUGAGACACUGCCCAGACUCCUACGGGAGGGCUGCAGUCGCGAAUCAUUCACAAUGGGCGCAAGCCUGAUGAUGCCACGCCGCGU